Molecule: ribosomal RNA, 497 nt
Filed under: uncultured bacterium
Lineage: Bacteria
Description: partial 16S ribosomal RNA
Rfam family: Bacterial small subunit ribosomal RNA
Source: RNAcentral
GACGAACGCUGGCGGCGUGCCUAAUACAUGCAAGUUGAGCGCUGAAGGUUGGUACUUGUACCAACUGGAUGAGCAGCGAACGGGUGAGUAACGCGUGGGGAAUCUGCCUUUGAGCGGGGGACAACAUUUGGAAACGAAUGCUAAUACCGCAUAAAAACUUUAAACACAAGUUUUAAGUUUGAAAGAUGCAAUUGCAUCACUCAAAGAUGAUCCCGCGUUGUAUUAGCUAGUUGGUGAGGUAAAGGCUCACCAAGGCGAUGAUACAUAGCCGACCUGAGAGGGUGAUCGGCCACAUUGGGACUGAGACACGGCCCAAAAUCCUACGGGAGGCAGCAGUAGGGAAUCUUCGGCAAUGGACGAAAGUCUGAACGAGCAACGCCGCGUGAGUGAAGAAGGUUUUCGGAUCGUAAAACUCUGUUGGUAGAGAAGAACGUUGGUGAGAGUGGAAAGCUCAUCAAGUGACGGUAACUACCCAGAAAGGGACGGCUAACUACGUG